This is a long non-coding RNA of Condylostylus longicornis, 359 nucleotides long. RefSeq lists it as uncharacterized. The transcript has 2 exons. Lineage: Eukaryota; Metazoa; Arthropoda; Insecta; Diptera; Dolichopodidae. The record is from RefSeq and is a predicted model, not a curated record.
AUAUGAUGUUAGGGAUUUGGGAUGUCAUUCUAAUUUUAUUUAUCAACUUGUGAAGAGGUAGGGAAAAGAAAUUGAGCUUACGAUUUUUCGCUUAAGUGUAAAUAUUUUCUUUAACAAAUUGAUAAAAUAAAUCUGCAAAAUGAUUAGAAUCCCUUUUGGUAAAAAGCAUGUUCAAAUCUUAACUUCAUUUGUACCAUCAGCUGCAACCUUUGGAGGUGCGGGAUUUUUAACAUUAUUAUAUUUUACUGAUUGGAGAGCUGUAUUGGAUCACGUUCCAUAUUACAGUGGCAAAUUUGUCAAAAAUGAUUAAAAAGAACAUGAAUUGUAAUAUUAGUUAAAUAAAUAAAUCUUAUAACUCA